CGUGGGGCUUGAACUCAUGAAUUAUGACAUCAUGACCUGAGCUGAAGCUGGGCACCUAACUGCCACCCAGGCUCCCUGUAGGUUGGCACAUUCUAAAAGGAAAUGCUAGACCCCCUAGCUAUGGAGGGCAUGCAAAGCUUCCAAGAUUGAAGCAAGCCUGUCUAGAGGAACGAGAGACAUUUGCAAAUAUCCCUCACCCUCAUCCUUGUCUGAAGGCCUGUCUCCCAUCCACCCUUCACCUCUGCGAUCUAAAAAAGCCUCAGCUGAAGAGUUUCCUUAGGCCAGAGAUUGGGCUGUCGAGUUGGUAUGUCCAGUGCUUAUGACCAGGAUUCACUACUGGGCAUGGAGAUCUUUUGCCUCUGCAGUUUCUUUACCAUCCAGAUCUGCCAGCCACAAAGGGCAACAAUUUGCACUCAGACAAAACAGUUGUUCCUUUUUAAAUGAGGGCAAGAAACAAUGGAACAGGUACCAAAGGAUGUCUUUACCUCCGGGGCCGGGGGGGGGGGGGGGGGUGGGAAGGGAGAUGAUGCAAACCAGGGAUAAAGCCCAGAAACUGUUGCCAGGAUACAAGACUGCUGGGUUGCAGAGGUCACAGAACCAAGGAAAAGGUUUCACAAGUGACUAA
RNAcentral lists this long non-coding RNA (625 nucleotides) under Felis catus (domestic cat). RNAcentral describes it as "lncRNA (ENSFCAG00000042837.2)". Lineage: Eukaryota; Metazoa; Chordata; Mammalia; Carnivora; Felidae. The record is from RNAcentral.